This 1522-nucleotide ribosomal RNA is filed under the name metagenome. RNAcentral's name for it is "bacterial SSU rRNA". It matches the Rfam family "Bacterial small subunit ribosomal RNA". The record is from RNAcentral.
AGAGUUUGAUCAUGGCUCAGAUUGAACGCUGGCGGCAGGCCUAACACAUGCAAGUCGAACGGUAACAGGAAGCUGCUUGCUGCUUCGCUGACGAGUGGCGGACGGGUGAGUAAUGUCUGGGAAGCUGCCUGAUGGAGGGGGAUAACUACUGGAAACGGUAGCUAAUACCGCAUAAUGUCGCAAGACCAAAGAGGGGGACCUUCGGGCCUCUUGCCAUCGGAUGUGCCCAGAUGGGAUUAGCUUGUUGGUGGGGUAACGGCUCACCAAGGCGACGAUCCCUAGCUGGUCUGAGAGGAUGACCAGCCACACUGGAACUGAGACACGGUCCAGACUCCUACGGGAGGCAGCAGUGGGGAAUAUUGCACAAUGGGCGCAAGCCUGAUGCAGCCAUGCCGCGUGUAUGAAGAAGGCCUUCGGGUUGUAAAGUACUUUCAGCGGGGAGGAAGGGAGUAAAGUUAAUACCUUUGCUCAUUGACGUUACCCGCAGAAGAAGCACCGGCUAACUCCGUGCCAGCAGCCGCGGUAAUACGGAGGGUGCAAGCGUUAAUCGGAAUUACUGGGCGUAAAGCGCACGCAGGCGGUUUGUUAAGUCAGAUGUGAAAUCCCCGGGCUCAACCUGGGAACUGCAUCUGAUACUGGCAAGCUUGAGUCUCGUAGAGGGGGGUAGAAUUCCAGGUGUAGCGGUGAAAUGCGUAGAGAUCUGGAGGAAUACCGGUGGCGAAGGCGGCCCCCUGGACGAAGACUGACGCUCAGGUGCGAAAGCGUGGGGAGCAAACAGGAUUAGAUACCCUGGUAGUCCACGCCGUAAACGAUGUCGACUUGGAGGUUGUGCCCUUGAGGCGUGGCUUCCGGAGCUAACGCGUUAAGUCGACCGCCUGGGGAGUACGGCCGCAAGGUUAAAACUCAAAUGAAUUGAUGGGGGCCCGCACAAGCGGUGGAGCAUGUGGUUUAAUUCGAUGCAACGCGAAGAACCUUACCUGGUCUUGACAUCCACGGAAGUUUUCAGAGAUGAGAAUGUGCCUUCGGGAACCGUGAGACAGGUGCUGCAUGGCUGUCGUCAGCUCGUGUUGUGAAAUGUUGGGUUAAGUCCCGCAACGAGCGCAACCCUUAUCCUUUGUUGCCAGCGGUCCGGCCGGGAACUCAAAGGAGACUGCCAGUGAUAAACUGGAGGAAGGUGGGGAUGACGUCAAGUCAUCAUGGCCCUUACGACCAGGGCUACACACGUGCUACAAUGGCGCAUACAAAGAGAAGCGACCUCGCGAGAGCAAGCGGACCUCAUAAAGUGCGUCGUAGUCCGGAUUGGAGUCUGCAACUCGACUCCAUGAAGUCGGAAUCGCUAGUAAUCGUGGAUCAGAAUGCCACGGUGAAUACGUUCCCGGGCCUUGUACACACCGCCCGUCACACCAUGGGAGUGGGUUGCAAAAGAAGUAGGUAGCUUAACCUUCGGGAGGGCGCUUACCACUUUGUGAUUCAUGACUGGGGUGAAGUCGUAACAAGGUAACCGUAGGGGUACCUGCGGUUG